GGGUCAGUAGGUUGGUCGUGCCACCGGUACGUACUGGUCUCACUGAUUCCUCCUUCCUGAAGAACCGUAAUGCCAUUAAUUUGGUGGUGCGGGGAAACAGGACUGUUACUUUGAAAAAAUUAGAGUGUUUAAAGCAAGCUAGCGCUUGAAUACAUUAGCAUGGAAUAAUGAAAUAGGACGAUCGAUCCUAUUUUGUUGGUUUCUAGGAUUGACGUA
RNAcentral lists this ribosomal RNA (216 nucleotides) under Glomeromycotina sp. Its description in RNAcentral is "partial small subunit ribosomal RNA". The stretch from base 40 to 216 matches the Rfam family "Eukaryotic small subunit ribosomal RNA", at positions 686 to 864 of the family's 1831-position model. The record is from RNAcentral. Lineage: Eukaryota; Fungi; Glomeromycota.